AGCACUCAAUCUCUUCUCCACUCCCCUAUAAACUACUUUUCCAGGGUACACUGUGCUGGUUAAAUGUUAACACAGCAACAGGAGGCCUUGUUAGUUUUCAUCCCACCUCCAUCUUCCUUGUAGAUUUUUCAAAAAAAAGUUUGUAGGGCCUAGCAGCCAAAGACCAUCUCACAAGGGAGCAGGGCAGCCCCAAACAGCAGACACCUUCCUGGACAGGGGUGUGGGCGAGGCCUUGACAGGACUUGGGCCUACAGGUGGGGGUCAGGAGCAGACGAGAAUGUGAGAAAGAUAACAAUUUCCACUCAGCAUAGGUUGAUUGCAGACGAGGUUCGUAAACCAGCUGACCACCUGGUCAAGGUGAUGGGCCUUGAUCUCUCCUUUGUGGAUGGAUAGGAAGAAGAAACAAUGGUGCUUUAAGCCAUUUAGCCUCACUGAUUCAGGAGAGAGGGGGCAACAAGAAGAAAAUGUUGAUUUUCUGCCUAGAACAAUAAAUAGUCAGCUCUCCCUGUCAGCUGUAUUAGUUGCUUUAAUGCAAGUACCUGUUCCAUCAGAUGACCUUGCUUCACUAAUGCCUGUGGUCUGCAACAAGCUACAGUAUUAAAGCUGUAAACCUGGCCAAGUCUGAGUGUAUGUCAGAUUUACACAGCCUUGUCAAAACCAUAAAGUUAACAGGCUGGAGAAGAAGAAAUCUUCAUACCUGCAUAAUCUUGCUAUGUGGAGAUCUGACAGAGUAGAAAACAAUACUUACAUUAACAGACAUUAUUUUUGCUGAGACUGUCUCUUUAAUAAUUAAUUCCAGCUGAUAGAAGAAGGCAUUCCAAGCCUGGAACCAUCUUUCUUGUA
Numida meleagris (helmeted guineafowl) is the source of this 843-nucleotide long non-coding RNA. RefSeq lists it as uncharacterized. The record is from RefSeq and is a predicted model, not a curated record. NCBI's taxonomy places the organism in Eukaryota, Metazoa, Chordata, Aves, Galliformes, Numididae. The transcript has 3 exons.